GUAAGGAAUAUUGGUCAAUGGACGCAAGUCUGAACCAGCCAUGCCGCGUGAAGGAUGAAGGUCCUCUGGAUUGUAAACUUCUUUUAUCUGGGACGAAAACGGGAUUUUUAUCUCAAUUGACGGUACCAGAGGAAUAAGCACCGGCUAACUCCGUGCCAGCAGCCGCGGUAAUACGGAGGGUGCGAGCGUUAUCCGGAUUUACUGGGUUUAAAGGGUGCGUAGGUGGGCUUAUAAGUCAGUGGUGAAAUCUCCGAGCUUAACUUGGAAACUGCCGUUGAUACUAUAGGUCUUGAAUUAUCUGGAGGUAAGCGGAAUAUGUCAUGUAGCGGUGAAAUGCUUAGAUAUGACAUAGAACACCAAUUGCGAAGGCAGCUUACUACAUAUAAAUUGACGCUGAGGCACGAAAGCGUGGGGA
This 415-nucleotide ribosomal RNA is filed under the name uncultured bacterium. RNAcentral describes it as "bacterial SSU rRNA". It matches the Rfam family "Bacterial small subunit ribosomal RNA", at positions 354 to 767 of the family's 1533-position model. The record is from RNAcentral.